GCGACUGUAGCUCAGUUGGUAGAGCCCACGGUUGUGGUCCGUGUGGUCGCGGGUUCGAGCCCCGUCAGUCGCCCCA
RNAcentral lists this transfer RNA (76 nucleotides) under Micavibrio sp. RNAcentral's name for it is "tRNA-His". It matches the Rfam family "tRNA". Rfam says of the family: Transfer RNA (tRNA) molecules are approximately 80 nucleotides in length. Their secondary structure includes four short double-helical elements and three loops (D, anti-codon, and T loops). Further hydrogen bonds mediate the characteristic L-shaped molecular structure. tRNAs have two regions of fundamental functional importance: the anti-codon, which is responsible for specific mRNA codon recognition, and the 3' end, to which the tRNAs corresponding amino acid is attached (by aminoacyl-tRNA synthetases). tRNAs cope with the degeneracy of the genetic code in two manners: having more than one tRNA (with a specific anti-codon) for a particular amino acid; and 'wobble' base-pairing, i.e. permitting non-standard base-pairing at the 3rd anti-codon position. The record is from RNAcentral. Lineage: Bacteria; Pseudomonadati; Bdellovibrionota; Bdellovibrionia; Bdellovibrionales; Pseudobdellovibrionaceae.